CAGAGGGUGCGAGCGUUGUUCGGAAUUACUGGGCGUAAAGCGCGCGCAGGCGGCUCUUUAAGUCUAUGGGUGAAAGACCGGGGCUCAACCCCGUGUCAGCCCGGGAUACUGGGGAGCUAGGGACAUGUAGGGGCGAGCGGAAUUCCGGGUGUAGCGGUGGAAUGCGUAGAGAUCCGGAAGAACACCGGGGGCGAAGGCGGCUCGCUGGGCAUGGUCCGACGCUGAGGCGCGAAAGCGUGGGGAGCGAACAGGAUUAGAUACCCUGGUAGUCCACGCCGUAAACGAUGGGCACUAGAGGCGGGGGGGAUCGGCCCCUUCCGUCUCGCAGCUAACGCGUUAAGUGCCCCGCCUGGGGAGUACGGCCGCAAGGCUG
RNAcentral lists this ribosomal RNA (373 nucleotides) under uncultured organism. RNAcentral describes it as "bacterial SSU rRNA". It matches the Rfam family "Bacterial small subunit ribosomal RNA", at positions 526 to 896 of the family's 1533-position model. The record is from RNAcentral.